This 300-nucleotide ribosomal RNA is filed under the name uncultured Thermovibrio sp. RNAcentral's name for it is "bacterial SSU rRNA". The stretch from base 52 to 300 matches the Rfam family "Bacterial small subunit ribosomal RNA", at positions 547 to 795 of the family's 1533-position model. The record is from RNAcentral. Lineage: Bacteria; Pseudomonadati; Aquificota; Aquificia; Desulfurobacteriales; Desulfurobacteriaceae.
GGUGAGUGGUAGAGGGCAGGUGGGGUGAUAGUGAUGGGUGAAGAGUUAUGUGGAAUUGACGGGUGGGAAGCGUGCGGAGGCGGUGGUUUGAGUCGGAGGGGAAAGUCCCGGUCGCAACCUGGGAAGGUCAGUGGAAACGGGCAGGCUAGAGUGUUGUAGAGGGGGGUAGAAUUGCAGUUGUAGCGGUGAAAUGCGUAGAGAUCGGGAGGAAGAGCGGUGGGGAAGGCGGCCCGCUGGACAAAGACUGACGCUCAGGUGCGAAAGCGUGGGGAGCAAACAGGAUUAGAUACCCUGGUAGUC